This 433-nucleotide ribosomal RNA is filed under the name uncultured bacterium. RNAcentral describes it as "partial 16S ribosomal RNA". It matches the Rfam family "Bacterial small subunit ribosomal RNA", at positions 29 to 507 of the family's 1533-position model. The record is from RNAcentral.
AGCGAACGCUGGCGGCAGGCCUAACACAUGCAAGUCGAACGAACUCUUCGGAGUUAGUGGCGGACGGGUGAGUAACACGUGGGAACGUGCCUUUUGGUUCGGAAUAACUCAGGGAAACUUGUGCUAAUACCGAAUGUGCCCUUCGGGGGAAAGAUUUAUCGCCAUUAGAGCGGCCCGCGUCUGAUUAGCUAGUUGGUGAGGUAACGGCUCACCAAGGCGACGAUCAGUAGCUGGUCUGAGAGGAUGACCAGCCACACUGGGACUGAGACACGGCCCAGACUCCUACGGGAGGCAGCAGUGGGGAAUCUUGCGCAAUGGGCGAAAGCCUGACGCAGCCAUGCCGCGUGAAUGAUGAAGGUCUUAGGAUUGUAAAGUUCUUUCACCGGGGACGAUAAUGACGGUACCCGGAGAAGAAGCCCCGGCUAACUUCGUG